AAUUUAAGGUGAAAUUCAAUUUUAAAAAUAAAUUCAAAGAUUGAAAUUAAGACCAAAUAUAACAUCUUAGCUACGCUUUUCACUUUUGGUGACUUAUGAAUUUUUCAAGCCGAAGUUAAAAAAGUGAGCUUUAGUAACUUACUUUAUCAACCAACUUUUGUAAAGUGACUUUUAUAUUCACUUUCGAUAACUAGACAACUGAUAAGACGUCACUUUCUAGAAAUGUUACUUUCGAUGCUUUACUUUCGGCCAACCAAAUAUGCCCUUAUAGUAAGUUAUUGUACGAAUAAGCUAUUGUACGAAUUUGA
Molecule: long non-coding RNA, 308 nt
Filed under: Ananas comosus (pineapple)
Lineage: Eukaryota; Viridiplantae; Streptophyta; Magnoliopsida; Poales; Bromeliaceae
Description: long non-coding RNA (ACOM_LNC011846)
Source: RNAcentral